Molecule: long non-coding RNA, 656 nt
Filed under: Nicotiana benthamiana
Lineage: Eukaryota; Viridiplantae; Streptophyta; Magnoliopsida; Solanales; Solanaceae
Description: long non-coding RNA (NBEN_LNC003851)
Source: RNAcentral
GAUAUUCUAACAACAAACUACCUAGCUUAGCUAGUUGGCAGCUCCGCAUCGUGAACUGCAUCGGAAAGGGCAUCCGAUCUCUCUUUUAUGGGCUGUUUCCCUCGUAUCUGACCUAUCCGAGUUAGCCCUCCCAAGCGGACAAAGAGGUGGAUCAUCUGAUCUUGAAAUAGGUCAUCCCGGCUAUCCCGAUCUUUUAUCUGUUCAUUUCGUCAGGUAUCUGAAUCAUACGAUUCUGAGGAUUCUGCUUUUCACAUUCAUUCUACAGGACCAAAACGAGGCCUUUCCUCGCUAGUUGGAAUAAAAACCUCAACAGCAGCCUUCAUUGAACCCCUUCAAAGAGGUGGAUCAUCUGAUAUUGAAAUAAGUCAUCCCGGCUAUCCCGAUCUUUUAUCUAUUCAUUUGGUCAGGUAUCAGAAUCAUACGAUUUUGAGGAUUCUGCUUUUCACAUUCAUUCUACAGGACCAAAACGAGGCCUUUCCUCGCUAGUUGGAAUAAAAACCUCAACAGCAGCCUUCAUUGAACCCCUUCUUCCUAUCCUUGCUACCUAUGAAACGAGUCCCUCUUUCAUUCACUAAAGAAGACGCAGCACAGCCUUCAUUGAACUCCUUCUUCCUAUCCUUGCUACCUAUGAAACGAGUCCCUCUUUCAUUCACUAA